Non-coding RNA from Amborella trichopoda, 142 nucleotides. The record is from Rfam. NCBI's taxonomy places the organism in Eukaryota, Viridiplantae, Streptophyta, Magnoliopsida, Amborellales, Amborellaceae.
GAAGACAGGGUCAGUCAGGUUAGCCAAGGAGACCGCCUAGAAACCUCAUAAUGAGGGUCUUAAUUGGGGCCAUAGCACCCUAGAACCAUCCACAUUGUGGAUGUAGGCAAGUCAUCCUUGGCUAUCAAAAUAACACUGUCUC